Molecule: long non-coding RNA, 271 nt
Filed under: Carica papaya (papaya)
Lineage: Eukaryota; Viridiplantae; Streptophyta; Magnoliopsida; Brassicales; Caricaceae
Description: long non-coding RNA (CPAP_LNC013508)
Source: RNAcentral
AUUUAAAAUAUGAUUAUAUUACCGGGUACAUGUUCAUGUCUAUGUGAUUGUGUUUAAUUUGGUAACGGAGAUUAAGGAUAAACAUGAAAGGGAUGUGAUCUAAUAAAUAGAUAAGGUGACAGCCUCACUAGAUAUCCUGGGAGAUGGUGGAUGGACCGGGUUCAUAGAGAAUCUUACAAAUGGAGACUUGGUCAUUUGGCGCUCAUACUGGACGGUGUAUGAGGACGGCCCGCUUCACCCUCAUACCGGACGGGGUAUUGAGGUUUAAUGU